This 111-nucleotide ribosomal RNA is filed under the name Saprospiraceae bacterium. The record is from RNAcentral. Lineage: Bacteria; Pseudomonadati; Bacteroidota; Saprospiria; Saprospirales; Saprospiraceae.
AAUGGUGGCUAUAGCGAAGGGGCACCACCUCUAACCAUUCCGAACAGAGUAGUUAAGCCCUUCAGCGCCAAUGGUACUGCCGCAUGGUGGGAGAGUAGGUCGCUGCCAACU